Molecule: ribosomal RNA, 407 nt
Filed under: uncultured bacterium
Lineage: Bacteria
Description: partial 16S ribosomal RNA
Rfam family: Bacterial small subunit ribosomal RNA
Source: RNAcentral
GACGAACGCUGGCGGCGUGCCUAAUCCAUGCAAGUAGGACGCAGUUGCGAACGGGUGAGUAACGCGUAGGUAACUACCUAUUAGAGGGGGCUAACUAUUGGAAACGAUAGCUAAUACCGCAUACUAGUAGAUGGCACUGCGUUGUAUUAGCUAGUAGGUGAGGUAAAGGCUCACCAAGGCGACGAUACAUAGCCGACCGUAGAAGGGGAUCGGCCACACUGGGACUGAGGCACUGGCCAGACUCCUACGGGAGGAAGCAGGAGGGAAUCUGCGGCAAGUGACGGAAGUCUGACCGAGCAACUCCGCGGGAGUGAAGAAGGUUUUCGGAUCGGAAAGCUCUGUUGUUAGGGAAGCGGUAACUAACCAGAAAGGGACGGCUAACUACGGGCCAGCAGCCGCGGUAAUUC